RNAcentral lists this ribosomal RNA (253 nucleotides) under uncultured bacterium. RNAcentral describes it as "partial 16S ribosomal RNA". It matches the Rfam family "Bacterial small subunit ribosomal RNA", at positions 524 to 776 of the family's 1533-position model. The record is from RNAcentral.
UACGAAGGGGGCUAGCGUUGCUCGGAAUCACUGGGCGUAAAGGGCGCGUAGGCGGCCGUUCAAGUCGGGGGUGAAAGCCUGUGGCUCAACCACAGAAUGGCCCUCGAUACUGGAUGGCUCGAGACCGGAAGAGGUUGGUGGAACUGCAAGUGUAGAGGUGAAAUUCGUAGAUAUUCGCAAGAACACCAGUGGCGAAGGCGGGUCUCUGGGCCGAUACUGACGCUGAGGAGCGAAAGCGUGGGGAGCGAACAGG